GACGGAGGGGGCGAGCGUUAUUCGGAAUCAUUGGGCGUAAAGAGCGUGUAGGCGGCCGAUUAAGUCAGGUGUGAAAGCCCGGGGCUCAACCUCGGAAGUGCACUUGAAACUGGUCGGCUUGAGUUCGGGAGAGGGUAGCGGAAUUCCUGGUGUAGAGGUGAAAUUCGUAGAUAUCAGGAGGAACAUCGGUGGCGAAGGCGGCUACCUGGACCGAAACUGACGCUGAGACGCGAAAGCGUGGGAGCAAACAGG
This 252-nucleotide ribosomal RNA is filed under the name uncultured bacterium. Its description in RNAcentral is "partial 16S ribosomal RNA". It matches the Rfam family "Bacterial small subunit ribosomal RNA", at positions 524 to 776 of the family's 1533-position model. The record is from RNAcentral.